RNAcentral lists this ribosomal RNA (442 nucleotides) under uncultured bacterium. RNAcentral describes it as "partial 16S ribosomal RNA". It matches the Rfam family "Bacterial small subunit ribosomal RNA", at positions 338 to 795 of the family's 1533-position model. The record is from RNAcentral.
CCUACGGGAGGCAGCAGUGGGGAAUAUUGGGCAAUGGGCGCAAGCCUGACCCAGCAACGCCGCGGGAAGGAAGAAGGCUUUCGGGUUGUAAACUUCUUUUAAGAGGGAAGAGCAGAAGACGGUACCUCUUGAAUAAGCCACGGCUAACUACGUGCCAGCAGCCGCGGUAAUACGUAGGUGGCAAGCGUUGUCCGGAUUUACUGGGUGUAAAGGGCGUUCAGCCGGGCUGACAAGUCAGAUGUGAAAUCCCGUGGCUCAACCACGGAACUGAAUUUGAAACUGUCGGUCUUGAGUAUCGGAGAGGCAGGCGGAAGUGCGAGUGUAGCGGUGAAAUGCGUAGAUAUUAGGAGGAACACCAGGGGCGAAGGCGGCCUGCUGGACGACAACUGACGGUGAGGCGCGAAAGCGUGGGGAGCAAACAGGAUUAGAUACCCCUGUAGUC